Oncorhynchus keta (chum salmon) is the source of this 194-nucleotide long non-coding RNA. RefSeq lists it as uncharacterized. The transcript is spliced from 2 exons. The record is from RefSeq and is a predicted model, not a curated record. NCBI's taxonomy places the organism in Eukaryota, Metazoa, Chordata, Actinopteri, Salmoniformes, Salmonidae.
CACACUGUAGACACACACACUGUAGACACACACACUGUAGACACACACACUAACACACACUGUAGACACACACACUAACACACACUGUAGACACACACACUGUAGACACACACACUAACACACACACUACACACACUGUAGACACACACUGUAGACACACACACUAACACACACUGUAGACACACACACUAACA